Molecule: long non-coding RNA, 315 nt
Organism: Varroa destructor (honeybee mite)
Lineage: Eukaryota; Metazoa; Arthropoda; Arachnida; Mesostigmata; Varroidae
Source: RefSeq, a predicted model, not a curated record
GUCGACUAUUUAUCCUUACUCACUUCUGUGUUUUGGCUUGUUUAGAUCAUCAUUUGUUUAGCUAACCUGCGAUCGUUGCCGUGAUUUGCGAAGGAAACUGCGAUUCUUAGGCAGCGAGGGAGCGAGAUGAAUCUGGCCGUGCCGCCAUUACAUUUAUAAAGAGAAGGACUCGGGGUUGGUGGCCUUUCCGUGCUCAGACAGGUGUUACGUAACAUCAAUAUGCUCACGCGCGAAAAAUCAAGCCAAUGGACGAUCAUAGACUUGAUUCGGGCUCUACUGAUGCUGGGUUCUCCGUGCGUCGCUAGCUUAGUGCCA